RNAcentral lists this ribosomal RNA (516 nucleotides) under Triticum aestivum (bread wheat). RNAcentral's name for it is "partial small subunit ribosomal RNA". Lineage: Eukaryota; Viridiplantae; Streptophyta; Magnoliopsida; Poales; Poaceae. The record is from RNAcentral.
GAACGAGACGAGCAGCGAGGCAGCGCCCAAUCAGAACCUCUUUCCAACCCCUCGUCGCCUCCUCGUCCUCUCCCUGCAACGACUUUUCUCCCCUCUUGUUCCAAACCCAAAUCGAGCCAAACCCCGACGCUCCAAAUCGCCCCAGCUCGGCGAUCCGGAGGGAUCUGCGAGGAGCGGAGGCGCCGGCGCCGCCGGAGGCAGGCGGCGGUGGCGGCGAGGCCGUCGGCGGCGGCUGGGGUGUCUGCGAUGAUAACCCGGUCGAAGCUGGUGGAGCAGCUGCGCGACUACCAGAUCCGAUCCCAGCACAAGCGCGACCUUAUCGGAGCCAUCUCAUGGGGCUUGCUGUGCUGCCUCCUAAUAGUAUCCUCAUACAUGAUGCUAUACUUCAGGCACUUCUGGUUAUCAGCCGUCAUCAUCUCCGUCGGCAUCCUUCUUCCCGCCGGCCUGUACAUUUUGAGGCAGAGGAAGCUGGCUAAGAAAAGAGAGCGGAGAUUAUUGUUGCCUCUCUCCAUGUAA